RNAcentral lists this long non-coding RNA (423 nucleotides) under Bos taurus (domestic cattle). RNAcentral's name for it is "long non-coding RNA NONBTAT011845". Lineage: Eukaryota; Metazoa; Chordata; Mammalia; Artiodactyla; Bovidae. The record is from RNAcentral.
UUCCAAGGAGGGAAGGGGUGUCAGUUCUACUGGCUCUUCAGAAAUCCCAGUGAAUGUUGCAUGGUUGUACGUUGGGGAACAGAGGAUUCUUCCUAGAUGAAGAAAUGUACCUAUUCUGCUUAAUCACCAAGCAAUACCUAGGUGUUUGUUAUGCUUUCCAGUACACAUUCCCUGUUGCAAAAAACAACUUUCUAGUUUUGCCAAUCUAGUUUUAAGUAAGGGACAAAGGAAUCUGACUAGAACUUGUAAUGAAAGGAGAGAGGAGACAUGCCGUCAAAAUCACAGCAUAUUUAAUUUUAUCUCAUCUUAUAAAUUUGUCAGAAUUGAGCUACUCCUUGGUUUUGGCUCUGUCGAGAAUAAUGGUCUUAGAAAUGAAUGUUCAUACAUAGUAUAGCAGAAAAAUUAAAAGAUUCAUGAGACCUG